CAGAAAUGAGCUCUCAGACCUUCUCCCAGACACUUCUCCAUUUGUAGGUUCCCUGAGAGAGCAGAGGAGGGGACGACCCAGGCCUUUUCACCUUCUGGACUACCUGUCUGGUGCUCUGGGUACUGGCGGGCUGGGCUGGAAUCCAAGAACCAAAUACGCACUGCCCGGCUAGGAUGGCACAGAGUUGAGACACCCAUCCAACAAGUCCUCUAUGUCUCGGCGGUGAUACCCAGCACAACCAAAAGCAGGGCUCAGCACUUGCUGGCCUCUCCUUGGAUUGCAGUGAAUUUGGCUGGAGCUUGAUGGAUUAAAAUUUUGCUAUUUUGUUCAUCAUGGAGUUUUUGCGUGUAUUUGGUUUUUAAGAAAGACCACGUUAAACUAUUGGUUCUCUUGACUACUGAAUUCUUUACAGCCCUCUUAAAUUUUGCAACUGAGGCAAGUGCCUUGUGCACAUCCCCCUAGCCCUGACCCUGGUGGGGAUAGAGAGCUGGUGGGAGAUGGGGAGUGGGGCUGGGGAGAAGGAUGGCCCAGAGUGUCUGAAUAACACUGCACGAUGUUUUCCAUUCCAGCUGCUGCUUCCUGGCUGGAAGAUAUGGCUUGAGAUUGGACCAAAUGGCACGUUCUCAUGUUCUAGCCUGGGGCAAUCAUCCUGGCCUCUUCCCACUUCCCCGGAAGCCCAGUAUAAGAGCUGCCUCUGGGGCCCAACAGCCAGAAGCACUGAGAGUGGAGGCCUCAGACUCCUGGAGGGAAUGAUGCCCCCAGUCUGGACAGCUGGGAGACCCAGGCAGACCUGA
This 794-nucleotide long non-coding RNA is filed under the name Ailuropoda melanoleuca (giant panda). RNAcentral's name for it is "lncRNA (ENSAMEG00000028318.1)". Lineage: Eukaryota; Metazoa; Chordata; Mammalia; Carnivora; Ursidae. The record is from RNAcentral.